RNAcentral lists this ribosomal RNA (377 nucleotides) under uncultured bacterium. RNAcentral's name for it is "bacterial SSU rRNA". It matches the Rfam family "Bacterial small subunit ribosomal RNA", at positions 30 to 407 of the family's 1533-position model. The record is from RNAcentral.
AUUGAACGCUGGCGGCAUGCCUUACACAUGCAAGUCGAACGGCAGCACGGGAGCAAUCCUGGUGGCGAGUGGCGAACGGGUGAGUAAUAUAUCGGAACGUGCCCAGUCGUGGGGAUAACGUAGCGAAAGCUACGCUAAUACCGCAUACGAUCUAUGGAUGAAAGCGGGGGAUCGCAAGACCUCGCGCGAUUGGAGCGGCCGAUAUCAGAUUAGGUAGUUGGUGAGGUAAAGGCUCACCAAGCCGACGAUCUGUAGCUGGUCUGAGAGGACGACCAGCCACACUGGGACUGAGACACGGCCCAGACUCCUACGGGAGGCAGCAGUGGGGAAUUUUGGACAAUGGGCGGCAAGCCUGAUCCAGCAAUGCCGCGUGCAGG